GGGAUCUUUUUCUCGUGAUUCCUUCCUUUGAAGUUUUCUACUGUAAGCUUAGGACACAAUUCCUACUUCAGAUCUAUGUGCUGAGGCUGAGUGAGGUUAUUAGAUAAAUGCCUGUGGCCUGAGAAGCCUGAGGGGUGGCUGUAAUGAGAAGAUUUCUACCAGCUGGUCCAAAAUCUUCAAGUUGCCUACCUGACUGCUGAAAGAAAGCCAAGAUGGUAUCCUUUGAGAGGUGGGUCAAUGCCCCAUGUGUCUACAUGGCAGGAUAACUUCAGUGAUGGAGAAAUCUUGAAGUCCUGGCUAUUGCUUUCAGAUGACCCCACAGGUCUUCUCAAGGCAUUUUCUGACAGGAUGAAGAGGAGAAACAGCAGUGGUGAUGGGUGUGACUAUAUGAAGACAUGCACAAGGACUGUGACAAGAACAGUCUUCACUGAUGCAACUUAAACUGCUGUAGAUGGACAUAAAAGUCGCACCCAGCAAAAUUUCCGUCCUGUGGAGAAGAACUCAAACUCCUGCAUGCUCUGAGAAUCUCCCAUUUUGCUUUUUCCCUGUCUUUGAAAGAAUAAUAAAUAAGGCUUCUUAAUAAGUCAUGAAUUAAUUACAAAGUGCAUGACAAACGUUAUCGGAAGAAAUUAAGUCCAUGCUCCUUGCUACGGCUGAAUCGAGGUGUCUGUCAUAUCUUGACUUCAUGGCAGAACGCAUUCUGAAAUUAAGAUGAAUAACUUAAUUUCUAGCUUCCAAUGAUUCCUCCUCAUAUACUGCAAAAAGGGCAAAGCAGAAGGGAGGGAGGAAAGAUUAAAAAGAGCAGUGCCAGUUAUUUGGGGAAGUCAUUGUUUGUCUGCAUUUGGGAAGAAAGGGACACCAUUUGGCAGCAUGGCAUGUCACUGUUUUGGUUCCAGCUGAUGAUCAUUGUGUGAAUUGAGCUGUAAGGAGAGCUGCCCAUUGACCAGCAUUGAUUGCUGUUGUCGACAGGUGCUAAUGUUCAUAGGGCAGAUCACAGCUGCUUGCACAGGGUUCCCAUUAUCCUUUGCUGGGUAUUGAUUCUCCCUGUGGGAUGUUUCCUUCCUAGCUGUGUUAAUUUUCAGAGCACAUAUUUGCAUUGGUUUGUGCUGAGAGGGAUAGUCAGAGGUGCCUUGGAUAUGUUUAAUGGCCUUACCCCCUCCCCUUUUACCCCCAAUCCCUUGAGUCUUUAGAGACUAUGUCUGUUGGGAUCCAAGUUUCCUCUAAUUAUGGUGCACAUUAAGGGACAGGCUCUAUGAAGAAUAUCAUUACUAUUCCUGUAAUUGCUUCAGGUGCACUCAAAAAUUAAUCAGAAAGCACACAAUGGGUUUUUUGUUUUGGUGUGGAUUUUAUUUUGAGUCCUUUCUGAGCCUAAAGACUUGCUGCCUAUGUAUAGAGCUUAUACAAGUGUAACAUGGAAGGGAUGGGAAAGUAGAUCAGGAGGAUGCCAGGGCAGGGACUAUUGCUUCCUUUCAGCACUAUUUUGGUGAUGCACACAAUUGAUUAACUGAUGGACCUCAGUUACCUGCAAACUAGAAUGUUAAUGCAAUGCAUUCCUUUUGCAUUGGUAUAAAUAGCUUUCAGUGUUGAGUGGAUUUGUCUAUUGGCAGGUGUCUGAACUGUGCCCAGAGCUGUGGUAGGAUCUUGCAGAGUCUUUUGGUACUGUAUAACAGUUGUUAUAGGAAUGGCAUCUUAUCCAUCUACCUUAAUGAGUCAAAGAAACCUAAAUUAUCUUUUGUUUUGUUUUGUUUUUUCUUUUUUUUUCUUUUUUUUUUUUUCUGAAAAGGAGGUAGUGCUACGAGUAACAGCAAAAAUAUUCAGCGAAAGAGACUUUUCCUUAGUUUUGGCAAGUGUAAUUACCAUCGUGCAAAUGCUGUCUCCACAUAUGAAAAAAUGUUAUAAAUUUUGUCUCUGUAACAUGGAAAUGGAACAACUAAUUUAGGUUCACUGAAUAAAGUAUAGCUUUGCUCGGAUAAAUGGGUCCCAAUUUAGUAUCCUUCCUUAAGGCAUCUUUAUUUCUGAGGUCUGAGUAGAAAGAAAGAAUACAUCUGAACCUAUUUAGCCCUACAGCUGAAAUAGUUAGGUUAUGGUUCUUCUCUAAUCAAUAACACCCCCAAAAUGGGUAUAACUAUCUUCAGCCCUGCAGUUUAAAUGAACAGGUAGUCAUUUGUAGCUGAAUAAUCUUCAGCAUGGGGCCAACACUCGGAUUAAAACCUCUGGAACCACACUCCAAUAUUUGUGAUUUUCUAGUGGAGUUGUGGAACGUGGCAUUAUAAUAAAAACAAUUCUUCAAGCUUCAGGAUAUCAGAGUAGUUACCGCACCUGGGAAGUAUGAAACCUUAAAUAUUA
This is a long non-coding RNA of Gallus gallus (chicken), 2346 nucleotides long. RefSeq lists it as uncharacterized. NCBI's taxonomy places the organism in Eukaryota, Metazoa, Chordata, Aves, Galliformes, Phasianidae. The record is from RefSeq and is a predicted model, not a curated record. The transcript has 4 exons.